RNAcentral lists this long non-coding RNA (531 nucleotides) under Homo sapiens (human). Its description in RNAcentral is "HSALNT0290653". The record is from RNAcentral. Lineage: Eukaryota; Metazoa; Chordata; Mammalia; Primates; Hominidae.
CAGCAAUGAAGGCACAGGGGAGGUAACCAAGGGGUACUGUUAGAUACCCAAAGAAGGAACCAUUAAGGAAACACUAAUAGACCAGCUGACAUUCUUCCUUUGUGUCCUACUCAAGAAAUAUCAGCUCUUAAAGAAACUGCUAAUAGUUAAGUCAUGGUUUUUAGUCUAAAAUCCUGACUCAGAAAUGUUACACAAUCUUCAUGGGAAUCUAGGAAAAUAUGAUGAUUUAUCUAAGAAACUAAGGUGGCACAAAGAAGAAACCCAGGAAAAAAUAUAGAAAAAAACUGAUUAUAAAAUGAAUCUAGAAAAACAAAGGACCUAGAAUGGCCAAAACAACUUUGAAAAAGAAGAAUGAAGUUGGAGGGCUUAAUACUCGGAUUUUAAGACUUAUUACAAAGCUUCUUUAUCACGACCGUGUGGUAUGAGCAACAAGAAAAGACAACCGGAUCAAUUGAAAAAAAUAGAGAAUCCAUUCAAUCGACUCUCAUUAUGGUCUCACUUAGUCGCCCAGGCUGAAGAACAGUGGCUCAA